ACAACUUUUAGCGAUGGAUCUCUUGGCUCUCACACCGAUGAAGAACGCAGCAAACUGCGAUAAGCAAUGCGAAACGCAGUUGUUCGUGAGUCAUCCGGUAUUCGAACGCACAUGGCAGGUCCUCGGACCUACGUCUGGUUGAGGGU
This 146-nucleotide ribosomal RNA is filed under the name Sanchytrium tribonematis. RNAcentral's name for it is "5.8S ribosomal RNA". It matches the Rfam family "5.8S ribosomal RNA". From Rfam's summary of the family: 5.8S ribosomal RNA (5.8S rRNA) is a component of the large subunit of the eukaryotic ribosome. It is transcribed by RNA polymerase I as part of the 45S precursor that also contains 18S and 28S rRNA. The record is from RNAcentral. Lineage: Eukaryota; Fungi; Sanchytriomycota; Sanchytriomycetes; Sanchytriales; Sanchytriaceae.